Molecule: ribosomal RNA, 495 nt
Filed under: uncultured bacterium
Lineage: Bacteria
Description: partial 16S ribosomal RNA
Rfam family: Bacterial small subunit ribosomal RNA
Source: RNAcentral
GACGAACGCUGGCGGCGUGCCUAAUACAUGCAAGUAGAACGCUGAAGGAGGAGCUUGCUCUUCUGGAUGAGUUGCGAACGGGUGAGUAACGCGUAGGUAACCUGCCUGGUAGCGGGGGAUAACUAUUGGAAACGAUAGCUAAUACCGCAUAACAGUAGAUGUUGCAUGACAUUUACUUAAAAGGUGCAAUUGCAUCACUACCAGAUGGACCUGCGUUGUAUUAGCUAGUUGGUGGGGUAACGGCUCACCAAGGCGACGAUACAUAGCCGACCUGAGAGGGUGAUCGGCCACACUGGGACUGAGACACGGCCCAGACUCCUACGGGAGGCAGCAGUAGGGAAUCUUCGGCAAUGGACGGAAGUCUGGCCGAGCAACGCCGCGUGAGUGAAGAAGGUUUUCGGAUCGUAAAGCUCUGUUGUAAGAGAAGAACGAGUGUGAGAGUGGAAAGUUCACACUGUGACGGUAUCUUACCAGAAAGGGACGGCUAACUACGUG